UUUUCAAGUCCCCUCCCCCACUGCUCACUGCUACCAGGGAGGACUUUAAUCUCCUUACGUGUUGAGGUUUGUUGUCCUCAUCCAGUAAAGAAAGAAUACUUUUCUUUUAUUCUAUAAACUUAGAAAUCCAAGAUCCGGUCAUGGCCUGCAGACUUUAUGAAGGUAAAGCUCAUGCUGCCUCCUACUGGAAAUACAGGAUCUCUCCAUCAGAACAUCUCAUGAAACAAGUGCUGAACUUCUGUGAAGGGCAUAGAGGUGGUCCCUUUGAGCUGGCGGUGGAUGUGGGCUGUGGGUCUGGUCAGGGCACGCUGCUUCUGGCCAAACACUUUGCUUCUGUGGUGGGGACGGACGUGAGCCCUGCUCAGAUAGAAAUGGCUUUACGACAUGCUAAACAGCCAAACGUAACAUACAGACUGUGUGCUGCCGAAGAGCUGCCAUUCGCCGACAGCUCGGCGGACCUGGUGGCGGCCAUGUCUGCCUUCCACUGGUUCGACAGGCCUCGGUUCCUGCUGGAGACCCACAGGGUCCUGAAGCCCCGUGGCUGCUUGGCUCUGGUCAACUACACACUAGACAUGGAGCUGAGCUACUCCGACUGCUGCUCACACACACUGAACCAGAUCUGCAGAGAGUUUUAUGCAGCCCUGCACCCGUACCGAAAUCCCAUACUGGGUCCAAACUCCAUUUAUUUAUACAAGGAGGCAUUUGAGGCCAUCCCGUAUCCCAAUAAGGAAUGGCAGGAGUGUGUGUGGGACAGGACGUCCAUGCCUCUGUCCAGCUACAUGGGGUUAGUGGAGUCCUUCUCCAGUUAUCAGGCUCUGCUCAGAGAUGAUCCACAGAAGGCCCAGAAACUGUCCGAAGACGUCUGUCAGAGGUGAACGACGCUUUGUACGACACUCAAAUACACCUUCUGUGGUGUUUUUGGCCUAAACACAGUCCAGGUUGAUGUCUGUGAUGAAGGUGACCUCUGCAGAGACAGAGGUGACGGUGGCUGUCAAGUAUUUCUACCUUCUGGCCUGCAAACCUGAAGAAGCCUGACCUCUGACUCCUCUCCUGUUUUUCACACAGACAUCCCAUAAAUGCACUUACAUUAUGACUGAACUUAAAUCACGUUAGUUGGAUUAUUUGAUUAAAGUUGCAGAUUACGGCCAUUCUGGCUGUUUUUAUGUUGAACCUAUAGAUUUAAACACUUACAGAACAUUGUUCUCACCAUGACAAGUUUGUCCCUCAACGGACCAGUAAAGGAUGAGUAUUUACACAGAAACCACCAUGUCUACAACAAUAAAUCGGUUUCAUAUCAAACUCUUAAUUUGUUUUAUGCACAAAAACAAAGACUUGAGCUGGGUUUGUUUGAGGUGAAUGACCCUUUUCUGCCAUUAGAGGGAGACAUUUGAUUAAAGAUCCUGUAGAUCAUGGCUGCCACACACAGGUUAAAGAUGUGGAUGACCUGAUUGACCAAAGAGCCUGUCUAUUGCUUGAGGAACAGUUUAAUAAAAAGAUGUUAACAUCUACUUAAUCAA
This is an RNA transcript of Nothobranchius furzeri (turquoise killifish), 1517 nucleotides long. It is a transcript of the gene named putative methyltransferase DDB_G0268948, with no coding region annotated. NCBI's taxonomy places the organism in Eukaryota, Metazoa, Chordata, Actinopteri, Cyprinodontiformes, Nothobranchiidae. The record is from RefSeq and is a predicted model, not a curated record.